AUCCAGUUGACGAGUCCCAAAUAGGACGUGACGCGCAUCGUGUAU
RNAcentral lists this non-coding RNA (45 nucleotides) under Schistosoma mansoni. Lineage: Eukaryota; Metazoa; Platyhelminthes; Trematoda; Strigeidida; Schistosomatidae. The record is from RNAcentral.